Molecule: ribosomal RNA, 245 nt
Filed under: uncultured Bacillota bacterium
Lineage: Bacteria; Bacillati; Bacillota
Description: uncultured Firmicutes bacterium partial 16S ribosomal RNA
Rfam family: Bacterial small subunit ribosomal RNA
Source: RNAcentral
GACGGAGGGGGCGAGCGUUGUUCGGAAUUACUGGGCGUAAAGGGCGCGUAGGCGGUCAUGCAAGUCGGGGGUGAAAGCCCACGGCUCAACCGUGGAAUUGCCUUCGAAACUGCGUGACUUGAGUACGGAAGAGGAGAGCGGAAUUCCCAGUGUAGCGGUGAAAUGCGUAGAUAUUGGGAGGAACACCAGUGGCGAAGGCGGCUCUCUGGUCCGAAACUGACGCUGAGGCGCGAAAGCCAGGGGAG